This 1021-nucleotide long non-coding RNA is filed under the name Dasypus novemcinctus (nine-banded armadillo). RNAcentral describes it as "lncRNA (ENSDNOG00000051187.1)". The record is from RNAcentral. Lineage: Eukaryota; Metazoa; Chordata; Mammalia; Cingulata; Dasypodidae.
GGGCAGGGCUCGUUCUUCUAACCCACUCACCUUCAACAGCAAUUGUUUCUAUGUAAUGCACAGUUAGCACAUUUUGGGGUGUAUUCAGUGUCUUUUUCGAGUCUCAAAAAUAAUUCUGAGGUGGGCAGGGCAGGCCCUUUCACCCUUUCCCGCUAAAAUGAAACCAGAAAAGGGUUACCCACCUCAGGGUCUCAGGGCCCGAAGUGAGCUGUCUUGAGUGACAAACUCUACACUCUGGUCACUUCAGCACAGGGCCUGUCCGAGGUCCCCGGCAUGACUGUCCUCCCCCAGCCACCCUGAGGCCCCGCAUGACUCUCCUCCCCCCGUGACCCCGAGAUCCCUGGCAUGACUCCUCCACGGUGACCCCGAGGUCCCGGCAUGACUCUCCUCCACGGUGACCCCAAGGUCCCGGCAUGACUCCUGCACGGUGACCCCGAGGUCCGGGCAUGACUCUCCUCCACGGUGACCCCGCCCGUGGCCUAGCAGCUCUGUCCACACACCAGCUCCCAGCAGGAACCCGCACUCCCGGCUCCGGCCUCGGGGCACAGCCCCACCCUUGAACGCUCCCAGUCUUUUGCUGUGAGAUUCACUCUCCCUCGCAGGAGCUCCCCUGCGCGGUUGGGAGGACAAGCCCGGAGGCUGUCCCUUUCCCCUCUUGGCGCAGUCCGGCCGGGAAGGCUGCGGCUCGCUGGGGCCCGCGCUGCGCCUGCAGGGCACCGGGAGCAGCCGCGCUUCCUCAUACCUGAGCCGCCGCUGCGGGGCCCUCCUGGCCCUAUUUAAGGCGCCGCACCGGGCGGGCAGUGAGUCACGGCACCGCGAGGACAGCAGCCCGAGCCACCUGCGCAGCCGGGAAGGCAGCCGGCCUCGCCAUGGCCUCCCUGGGGCAGAUCCUCUUCUGGAGCAUUAUUAGCAUCAUAAUUAUUCUGGCUGGAGCCAUUGCACUCAUCAUUGGCUUUGGUAUUUCAGGUAUGUGAUUUCUUUUUUCUUUCUUUCUUCCUCUUUCCUUCAUUCAUUCCUUGUU